Molecule: microRNA precursor, 215 nt
Organism: Oryza sativa Indica Group (long-grained rice)
Lineage: Eukaryota; Viridiplantae; Streptophyta; Magnoliopsida; Poales; Poaceae
Rfam family: MIR812 microRNA precursor family
Source: Rfam
AAUAAGUGCAGUUUUGCACUAUUCACGUUCAACGUUUGAUCGUUCGUCUUAUUUGAAAAUUUUUUAUGAUUAGUAUUUUUAUUGCUAUUAGAUGAUAAAAUAUGAAUAGUACUUUUUUAUAUAUAUGUGACUAAAUAUUUUCAAUUUUUUCACAAAUUUUUUAAAUAAGACGGACGGUCAAAUGUUGGGCACGGAUAUCUACAGCUGCACUUAUU